GAAGGGAUAGCUGGGUCAUAUGGUAGUUCCAUUCCUAGUUUUUUGAGGAAUCUUCACACUGCUUUCCAAAGUGGUUGUACUAAUUUGUAGUCCCACCAACAAU
This 103-nucleotide microRNA precursor is filed under the name Marmota monax (woodchuck). Lineage: Eukaryota; Metazoa; Chordata; Mammalia; Rodentia; Sciuridae. The record is from RNAcentral.